CUGCGUUUUGUUAAUGAAUGUUCUAAGUAUCGAGCUGGUUUUCGAGGAUAUUCUGACAAUAAUAAAUUUAACUUUUCACUGUUAUUCAAAUUUAAGUCCAGAGAAUAAUUGAUUACGUAGUCCAUUGUAAAAUUGGCAUUCAAUCGGAGAGUGUAGUUCAUUUUCAACAUGUCCGGAGUCGCACAUUCUACAUAUCCGUUGGUAUUCUGGCUCACCAACAAAACGUCCUGUUUCUAAUCUUAGCGGAAGAAUGCCACAUCUAUAUAAAUUAAUCGGUCAUUAUUACGUCUCUCUCUUUAUUCUAAGCUUUGAUGUG
RNAcentral lists this long non-coding RNA (316 nucleotides) under Mytilus galloprovincialis (Mediterranean mussel). Lineage: Eukaryota; Metazoa; Mollusca; Bivalvia; Mytilida; Mytilidae. The record is from RNAcentral.